UGAUAUCAUUUGUAGGUUUGGACUAAGGGAAUCGCAGCACGCUUGCUUACCAGGUGUGUACAUACACUGCACAUGCAUUAUGUAUCGGCAAAAGUCGAAAUGCCGAAAAACAGAAAUGCCGAAAAGCUGAAAGUUUGGCUACAGUAGUCUUGCGAGUGUGCGAGCACUCGUAAGGGAGAGACCGAUAGGUUGCCUGAGGCCCACG
This 205-nucleotide long non-coding RNA is filed under the name Gossypium barbadense (sea-island cotton). RNAcentral describes it as "long non-coding RNA (GBAR_LNC012366)". Lineage: Eukaryota; Viridiplantae; Streptophyta; Magnoliopsida; Malvales; Malvaceae. The record is from RNAcentral.